Molecule: ribosomal RNA, 282 nt
Filed under: uncultured bacterium
Lineage: Bacteria
Description: partial 16S ribosomal RNA
Rfam family: Bacterial small subunit ribosomal RNA
Source: RNAcentral
UUAACACAUGCAAGUCGAGCGCCUUUUGGCUUCGGUCAACUGGGAGCGGCGGACGGGUGAGUAACACGUAGGUAACGUGCCUUUUGCGGGGGAUACUCCGGGAAACCCGGGACAAUACCGCAUAUGUCCUUUCGGGGAUGAAAGCCUUCGGGCACCAGAAGAGCGGCCUGCGGCCCAUUAUUUAAUCCUUGUUGGUGAGGUAACGGCUCACCAAGGGUACGAUGGGUAGCUGAUCUGAGAGGAUGAUCAGCCACACUGGGACUGAGACACGGCCCAGACUCC